AGAGCCACGGUGUCGAUAGGGAAACUCAUCGUACAAUUAUAGAAAACCGAGACAAACCGAGGUACUAAUGGCGGGCUAUAACGAGAGCCUCGGCUCUCGCUCCCUCACACGCUGAGGGAUACAGUAGAUUACAAAGGUAUCAAGGCGCUCAAAUCCUAUUCAUAGGAGUUUUCGCUUUAUCCGCUCGUGGCUCCCCCA
Molecule: small RNA, 198 nt
Filed under: Porphyromonas catoniae ATCC 51270
Lineage: Bacteria; Pseudomonadati; Bacteroidota; Bacteroidia; Bacteroidales; Porphyromonadaceae
Description: Bacteroidales-1 6S-Bacteroidales RNA suggested
Rfam family: Bacteroidales-1 6S-Bacteroidales RNA suggested
Source: Rfam by way of RNAcentral